GAGUGUUAAAUUCUACGAAACUCAUUAUUUCACAUAGGAUGUGAUCCAAAAUUACAUUUGAUAUUCCCACAUAGGGUAAACCAUAUAUAUUACAAAAUAUACAUACAGCCUACAUAAUUAAGGAAAAGGAACAUGAAUAUUCUAUCCAAAUAUACAUCACUCAAAUAAUGAACCAAAGAAGAAAAGAAAAGAAAAGCACUGCAGGAUUUUAUGCACUUGAAACCUCAUAUGGCCACCCAAAGCUACAUAUCACCUCACUCAAUCUUUUCUAUUAUUUCCAACCUGGUUUUCCUCUUCCAACCUUUCAUUGUAGCAACAAGGUUAAUCAACCCAACAAUUUGAUUCUUAGAAUAUUCUGGGUGAGCACGGGCCCAGUGCACAUACUCAGUUUCUGGAAGGUAGUAAGCCUUAAUGAAAGUUUCAACUAAUUGUAACUUUGGCUUCACAUUUAUGGAGACAAAAUGUUGCAAGCCAUUGAUCAAAACCUG
This 488-nucleotide unclassified non-coding RNA is filed under the name Hevea brasiliensis (rubber tree). Lineage: Eukaryota; Viridiplantae; Streptophyta; Magnoliopsida; Malpighiales; Euphorbiaceae. The record is from RNAcentral.